Molecule: ribosomal RNA, 253 nt
Filed under: uncultured bacterium
Lineage: Bacteria
Description: partial 16S ribosomal RNA
Rfam family: Bacterial small subunit ribosomal RNA
Source: RNAcentral
UACGUAGGGUGCAAGCGUUGUCCGGAAUUAUUGGGCGUAAAGGGCUCGUAGGCGGUCUGUUGCGUCGGGAGUGAAAACCCAGGGCUUAACCCUGGGCUGGCUUCCGAUACGGGCAGACUAGAGGUAUGCAGGGGAGAACGGAAUUCCUGGUGUAGCGGUGAAAUGCGCAGAUAUCAGGAGGAACACCGGUGGCGAAGGCGGUUCUCUGGGCAUUACCUGACGCUGAGGAGCGAAAGUGUGGGGAGCGAACAGG